CCCUGGUUAGCUCAGUUGGUAGAGCGCUCCACCUGUAAUGGAGAGGUCCCGGGUUCGAUACCCGGACCAGGCG
Ixodes scapularis (black-legged tick) is the source of this 73-nucleotide non-coding RNA. NCBI's taxonomy places the organism in Eukaryota, Metazoa, Arthropoda, Arachnida, Ixodida, Ixodidae. The record is from Rfam.